CCAGCCCUGUCCUACUCUCUAGCACUGAGGCGAUUUACAUUUUUCCUUCUUAUUUACAAGAUGAAGGACAAAGAGAAGUCAAAGUCCUCCUUGGGAGAUAGUGGGCUGAGUGUGGGAUCGGGGGUGCAACUGGUCAGAUGGAAUUCUGCUGCUCGCUAACUUAUUUCCCAGACCUGCAGCCCCUUCCCCGCUUCUUCAGGGUUUGGCAUAGGGGAAUCUGUCUGCCUCUCCCAGGAGGUGCAUUUGAUUCUGUCUAUUCACUCGUCUCCCUGGAAUUUGAGUAUCCUUUCUUGCACUGAGCAUUGGUGUGUUCCCAUACCUAGAUGCCAAGGCCUUUGAGUGGUCCAUGUCUUUUUAAUCUCUGUGUCCCAGCUCACAGCACAACACUUGGUACAUAGUAGGCAGGCAGGAAGGAAGGAAGGAAGGAAAAAGGAAAGGGAAAGAAGAGGAAAAGAAGACAGACCCCCUGCAGUUGGAAGUCUUCAUUGGUUAGCUAACAUUCUCAAAUUCCUGAUGCUGUAUGUGGCCUCCAAACAAAAUUAAUCAGCAGAUGUACAAAGAAGCAUGAUGCCCAGCUCUGUGCUGAGUCCUGCCCAUGAGUUUCCCGUAGUUUAACGGUUGUUGUUACUGUUGUUUGCAGAAAUAACUGACAAUGUGUAUAGAGAACCCAGUGUUCCCAAGAGCAAUCCUUCUUCAUGAAUAUCAACUAGAAGGAGAUGGAAUCAGAUGGCCUUGGAGAAUAAUCUCAGUGCUCUUAUUUAGUAUAGGCUACUUUAUCGCUCAGGACUCAGUUUUCUGAUAUAGAAAGCAGGGUUGAUAACAAUCCUGACCUGAGGACACUACUGCGACUAUUAUAAGGAUAACACACAUUCACUGAUUAAAGACGGUGACCACACCAUGAGUGGUCAACAAGUUGUACCUGCUUUGUGUUGUAAUGUUAGUUAGGCAUUUAAUCCAGUAGCUGAUCAAUAAUGGUUUUCACUAACCAGGCUACACUGGUCAACAUUUGAG
RNAcentral lists this long non-coding RNA (1011 nucleotides) under Homo sapiens (human). RNAcentral describes it as "HSALNT0305213". Lineage: Eukaryota; Metazoa; Chordata; Mammalia; Primates; Hominidae. The record is from RNAcentral.